UACAACUCUCUCUUUCUCUUUUCUCUUAGGGAUUAAAACAGCAGCCAUAAAAUUUCUUCUAGGGUUCUUGAAGAAAUCCUCACCUUUGCAAGACAAGGUAAAUGAAAACACUUAUGGAUUUAGCUUAAUUCUCCCAUGAAUGAUUAGGAAAACAUGUUAUUUAUGCUCAAGUAUAAGUACAAAGGCAGAAUGUUUCCACAAGCUGCUACUCACUUUUCUUGAUUAUUUAGAUACUUUUCUCUUCUUCUUUGGUUUAAGUGUGAAGGGAAGUUGAAGUUCUUGAAGAUUCCAAGUUAAAAGGAAAGGUUGCAUAAAUUGAGGUAAGGUGACUACUCUAUUUUUGUCCUCUUUAUGCAUGAGUUUGAGUAAAGAAUUAUGGGUAUGUUAUUAUUAAGAACUCAAGAAAUAGUGAGUUCAAUACUUGGUUGCUAUGAUAAAGAAUAUUUGGGGUUGUUUUAUGUGUAUUGUUGUUGGGGCAGCUUGGGUAAUCUUGAAAAAGAUUAUCUAAGGUAUGUAUUGGAUAGAGAAUGAGGGUGUGGUGAUACACAUUUGUUUAAGGGUUGUAUGAGAUCAUUGUCCGUCAAAGUUAGCUAUUGUUUUACAAGGCCCACAAUGUGAUAGCUGCUGAUUUUAGUUUAUCAUGACUUAUAUUGUAGAUUAACAUCUAAAAGUGGAGGCUGAAUCGUGAUAGUUGUACUGGUCAGAGAAUAAGGUAUGUAAGGUUGUUCCAUUCCAUAUUUCUUUACAUGAAAUCUGGUAAUUGCAAUUAUUAUCAACAAAGUGAAUUUUCUAAGCUCUAUCCCUAGUAAGGGAAACAUAGUGACAGCAUACGAUCUCCAAAUAGCUAACAAUAUUUUCUACUCUUCCUAGUGUGUUGAAUUACUUCAUUAUAUGUUCAUUACUCUACAUUUGUAUAAUUAUCCUCCUAUGUGCUAGUAUAGAAAUGGUAUUCGCAACAGCAAGCUUGGUAAAUUCUCGUCUUAGUCAAUUGAAGUCAAUUGUGUCAUUUAAGCUUAUAAGUAAUGCAUUGAUGCUUCAUAGCUCCUUAUGUCAUUGUUAUUGUCUUGAAGUUAUUAUUCUCAUGUCUUCUACUACUGGUCCGUAGUUCCAAAUCUAAAACAUGAUUAUGACCAUCAAAACAACAAUCUCAAAGAUUAAAGAAACUAAGUGAAGCAAUUUGUAUAAUUAUGGGUGGCAGCCCAGGAGAAAAUGCCUAGCAUGAGUCGAUCUCAAUUGGUAUAGAAGGGUGGCAGCUCAGGGGAGAAAGCCUAGCAUGGGCCGAUCAAUUUGUGUAAUUACGAGGACAUCAUCCAAGGGGUUAAAAUGUCUAGCAUGGGUCAUCCUCUUCUACCACUAAUCAGCUAGUCAUUUGUAUCACAUGCCUUACAAAGAUUAUAAAGUACAGAAAAGUAAAGAAAAGAAUGUAACAUACAUGAUCCCACAAGAGUAAACAAAUGCGGUCUUCUAUUUCGAUCUAUGCACUUAUAUAUUGAUACUUGACUUCAUUUGAGCCUUUAUUUUACAUAUGUUAUUGCCUUACAUAUUCAGUACAUUUUUUUUGUACUAACGUCCCUCGUGGGGGACACUGCAUUUCAAGUUGCUGGCACAUGUACUCCAGCUAGUAGACUUCUUUAGUAGGAGCACAAAUACUCAAUUGCUAUUGGUGAGGCUCCAGGUUGAUUCGGAGCUUACCGAGUCUUUGACACCUAUCUUGUUACUGUAUGAUAGUUAAGGGUAAGGUGGGGCCUUGUCCCACCCUAAACUAAGGUUUUCUAUAUUUUAGAGGCUUCAUAUGCUGAUGUAUAUAGUUCAGUUGUGUCUUGUCUCUUAAGAAGUUGUGGCCUCAACGGCCAAGUCUUGUAUAUAAGUUUUGGAUCUACUUGUGUUGGUUCGUAUUGCUGCAUCCUAUAUGGACUUUUUACAACUUUAAAAUUUUUAUAGUUAUACGCAUAGUAAGCACAUGUUAUAUGUUGGUUCUCUCGGGCCUUUAGGGCAUCAGGUGCCAAUCCGUCUUAAUGGGAAUUGAGGUGUGACACAAUAGGCCUUCAUAUCCCUUUUCUUCAAGUUAAACAUACUAUUGAUAAAUGAUAAAGUUCUGACUGUGUUACCAAGUUGAAACCUAUGUACAAAGUAGUGCUAAUGUUUAUUUUAUGACAUUUGGAAAAUGAGGAAUAUUAUUAAACACGGGGGUGAUGGGGGAGAAAGAUAUCAAGGUAUGUGAUGAAUAUGGAGGUUAAUAGGAAUUUAUAUUUAUUUGCUCAAAAUAAAUAUCCCUGGUUACAAGAAAUUCCUAGCACAUAGCCUUUGAUGGUGAAAAUGUUUGAAGAAUGCACUCCAUUAAUUUCUUGUAAAGUUAUUAGAUGGGAAGUUUCUAGAAAUGAGUUUUUACAAGUGUAACAGUGAUAGUGUCUGUAGAGGAAACAUUGGGGAAAGUUCAAGUGUCUACUGUAUUAGAGAUGGAGAAGACAAUUUUGUAUAUACUGAAGCAAAGAAAUAUGAUCAUUGUUCUGUAUUAAUGGUUGAAUGCUUAGCUAUGAAAUCACAAUGAUGAGGAACAAUAAUGUUGUUGGAUAGAGAUCGAAUUCAUGGCGUUUGUGAAAAUUUAAAGCAUCGAAGUGAAUUUCACUUGAGCUCACUUUUUGGUAUCCUAAGUUUUAGGCUCUGAGGUGAAAAUUCUAUGAUUGGUGAAUGAUUCAAUUGAAGCCAUCAAAGGUUGCUAAAUUCGAUUGAUCAUCUUUCAGCUAUUUCUCUAUAGAUUUUCUCUUUUCUUGCUUUUGACUCGUGUUGUUCUUUAGUUGAGGAAUAUUGUUUAGGAUAGCGAGUCUCUUUUCUUUUGGUUUUGAACUUGGGUCAUUUUUGGACCCAAGUUAUGUAUAGUUUCGUUUAGCAAACUAGUCAAAAUUCCUAACAUAAUUAUUAAAAACAUCUACACUUUAAAAUAAUUAUUAAAAAUGUCAAUAUGUCAAUAUUUUAGCAAAUAUAAUGUAUCCUAAUAUAAUUUAUUUACUUUUUUUUUUCUCAAAUUGGGCCCAUUUUUUUACCCCAUUACCAGUGAAAAGAAAAAAAAGAUCCCAUUAUCCACUUUUCUCUCUCUAAUUUUUUACCCACAUUCUAUCUUUUCUCUCUCCUCAAGUAACUUAAACCUUAUCUUGUUUAAAUCGAAAUUCAUCCAUUGUUCUAAGAAAUCUCAUAAUUCAUUCAAAAGAUUUUCAACCUUUUAUAUAGAUUGUUUAAAUCUAAGAAAUCAUUUUUCUCUAUCAUUUUCAAUAUUGUAUUCUUUUUUAUUACUAGUGUGUUUUCAUAUUGUAAUUUAAUUAUUUAAUUUUUCUGGGUACUAAUAACUUUUUUGGAUGACGAGACAAAGUUUUAUUAAUGCACAAGUGAAUACAGAUUCAAAUUUGAGUUGGGUGAACAAAAAAUCAGAAAAAAGAAACAUAGCAGAAGAAGAAGAAGAAGAAGAAGAAGAAGAAGAAGAAGAAGAAGAAGAAGAAGAAGAAGAAAUUUAGAGAAAAAGGUUGCAAAAUUGUGUUCAUACUAGAAUUGUAUUCAUAUUAAUUUUUGUUUGUCAAUUAUUUUUCUUUUACUCAACAUUUUGUAUUUUUAUUAAGAACAUUGUAUUUAUUUUUUUAGUUUGUAGUCAUUCCAAUAGUUAU
This 3653-nucleotide long non-coding RNA is filed under the name Solanum tuberosum (potato). RNAcentral describes it as "long non-coding RNA (STUB_LNC006398)". The record is from RNAcentral. Lineage: Eukaryota; Viridiplantae; Streptophyta; Magnoliopsida; Solanales; Solanaceae.